This 484-nucleotide ribosomal RNA is filed under the name uncultured bacterium. RNAcentral's name for it is "partial 16S ribosomal RNA". It matches the Rfam family "Bacterial small subunit ribosomal RNA", at positions 28 to 507 of the family's 1533-position model. The record is from RNAcentral.
AUUGAACGCUGGCGGCAUGCUUUACACAUGCAAGUCGAACGGCAGCGCGGGCUUCGGCCUGGCGGCGAGUGGCGGACGGGUGAGUAAUGCAUCGGAACGUGCCCAGUAGUGGGGGAUAGCCCGGCGAAAGCCGGAUUAAUACCGCAUACGACCUGAGGGUGAAAGCGGGGGACCGAAAGGCCUCGCGCUAUUGGAGCGGCCGAUGUCGGAUUAGCUAGUUGGUGGGGUAAAGGCUUACCAAGGCGACGAUCCGUAGCUGGUCUGAGAGGACGACCAGCCACACUGGGACUGAGACACGGCCCAGACUCCUACGGGAGGCAGCAGUGGGGAAUUUUGGACAAAGGGGGCAACCCUGAUCCAGCCAUGCCGCGUGCGGGAAGAAGGCCUUCGGGUUGUAAACCGCUUUUGUUCGGGAAGAAAUCCUCUGGGCUAAUACCCCGGGGGGAUGACGGUACCGGAAGAAUAAGCACCGGCUAACUACGUG